UGGGGAAUAUUGCACAAUGGGCGAAAGCCUGAUGCAGCAACGCCGCGUGAGUGAUGAAGGCCUUCGGGUUGUAAAGCUCUGUCUUUUGGGACGAUAAUGACGGUACCAAAGGAGGAAGCCACGGCUAACUACGUGCCAGCAGCCGCGGUAAUACGUAGGUGGCAAGCGUUGUCCGGAUUUACUGGGCGUAAAGGAUGCGUAGGCGGAUUUUUAAGUGAGAUGUGAAAACCCUAAGCUUAACUUGGGGACUGCAUUUCAUACUGGAAAUCUAGAGUGCGGGAGAGGAGAAUGGAAUUCCUAGUGUAGCGGUGAAAUGCGUAGAGAUUAGGAAGAACACCAGUGGCGAAGGCGAUUCUCUGGACCGUAACUGACGCUGAGGCAUGAAAGCGUGGGUAGCAAACAGGAUUAGAUACCCUGGUAGUCCACGCCGUAAACGAUGAGUACUAGGUGUAGGAGGUAUCGACCCCUUCUGUGCCGCAGUUAACACAAUAAGUACUCCGCCUGGGAAGUACGAUCGCAAGAUUAAAACUCAAAGGAAUUGAC
This 543-nucleotide ribosomal RNA is filed under the name uncultured bacterium. RNAcentral's name for it is "partial 16S ribosomal RNA". It matches the Rfam family "Bacterial small subunit ribosomal RNA", at positions 355 to 914 of the family's 1533-position model. The record is from RNAcentral.